Molecule: ribosomal RNA, 460 nt
Filed under: uncultured bacterium
Lineage: Bacteria
Description: partial 16S ribosomal RNA
Rfam family: Bacterial small subunit ribosomal RNA
Source: RNAcentral
CCUACGGGUGGCAGCAGUGAGGAAUAUUGGUCAAUGGGCGCGAGCCUGAACCAGCCAAGUAGCGUGAAGGAAGACUGUCCUACGGGUUGUAAACCUCUUUUAUCAGGGAAUAAAGUGAGGCACGAGUGCCUUUUUGUAUGUACUUGAUGAAUAAGGAUCGGCUAACUCCGUGCCAGCAGCCGCGGUAAUACGGAGGAUCCGAGCGUUAUCCGGAUUUAUUGGGUUUAAAGGGUGCGUAGAUGGGUUGUUAAGUCAGUGGUGAAAGUUUGCGGCUCAACCGUAAAAGUGCAAUUGAUACUGGCAGCCUUGAGUACAGUUGAGGUAGGCGGAAUGCGUGGUGUAGCGGUGAAAUGCUUAGAUAUCGCGAAGAACUCCGAUUGCGAAGGCAGCUUACUAAACUGCCACUGACAUUGAUGCUCGAAAGUGUGGGUAUCAAACAGGAUUAGAUACCCGGGUAGUC